UACGUAGGGUGCAAGCGUUGUCCGGAAUUAUUGGGCGUAAAGAGCUCGUAGGCGGUCUGUCGCGUCUGCUGUGAAAACUCGGGGCUUAACCCUGAGCUUGCAGUGGGUACGGGCAGACUAGAGGUAUGCAGGGGGAGAACGGAAUUCCUGGUGUAGCGGUGGAAUGCGCAGAUAUCAGGAGGAACACCGGUGGCGAAGGCGGGACUCUGGGCCGAUACUGACGCUGAGGAGCGAAAGCGUGGGGAGCAAACAGG
Molecule: ribosomal RNA, 254 nt
Filed under: uncultured bacterium
Lineage: Bacteria
Description: partial 16S ribosomal RNA
Rfam family: Bacterial small subunit ribosomal RNA
Source: RNAcentral